AUCACUUUCUUCUUCCACACAGCACACAUCUAACAGUUUCCAGCUCUAUUCUGAAAGGGAAGAUGUUAGUCCUUAUGCCAUUUUUAAUUAUUCUCUUGACAACAGACUAUAGCAAAGGUAAGUAAUGUAGGCUAACUAAUGGUUUGGCGUUUUUACUUGAAAAGUCUUGAAUGUCUUUGAUUUUCCAGAUCUUUAAACCCUCAAAAUGAAGUUUUAGAGUUGUGAAAGGAUUUUGAUUUUGUAUCCCAUUGUAUGUCAUAUGCACAGCAAAAAAGAAACAUCCUCUUCACAUUCAACUGCUUUUAUUUCUGAACAUGUGUACAUAACAUGCAAUAAUUGUUUAUGGUUCGUAGAAUAAGUAUGGAAAAAUGUAAUUUAAACCCUUAAAGAUCUGUAAAGCUUAUUUGGAUUUAAUGAAAUGAUCUUUCAAAUACAGUAUGCAUACAAAUGCAUCAGCAUAUGCUAAUAUUGCUUUCUGAUGCAUGCAGGUGAAAUAGAGCUGCGUGCUUUUAAACACCAGACAGUGAAUUGCAAUGAGAGGACUGUCUUGCAAUGCGGAGUCAGCUCAUCAGUGCCGUUGAACUUUGUAAAAGCGUACUGGAAAAAACAAGAUGAUAAAGAUUUUGAAUGUGUUUCAACAUCCAGCAAUAACCCUUCAGGAUUUGAGUGCAACUACACAGGGGGAGCACUGACAUUAACCAUCUCAAAUCCCACACCAGCAAACAUGGGCACAUACUUUUGUUGUAUAAGGACAGACUUUGGACAUGGAAAAGAACAAAUCGACGUGUCUAUAGGACAAUGCACCGGAGAAUUCUCCAACCAGAUGGCUGGACCCAAAGAAAUGCAGUGCAGCUUCAAUGGUGUGUACCCAGAGGCCAUAAUAAACUGGUAUCAUUAUGACAAGAACCUGACUUCCAACUCUACAAGCACAAGCCUGGUGAACUCUGACGGAACGUUCAACGUCACAAGUGUCCUCAACAUCCAGGACAAUCAAAAGAGAUAUAACUGCUCACUGUGGUCACUCAAACACGGACGAUACAGCGAUCAAGAGUUCGAAGUGGCAGAUCAAGCUGAGUCCAGUCCUGUUAGCAGGAUCAGCACACAACAUUGUUUAUCAUGGACUCUUAUCCUUCUUAGCCUGAUGUUUUCAUCGAGAGCCUGUUUGUCUUUAUAAUCUUUACAUACCAACUCUCACAAGACCUGAUGACAAAACCAAAGAUCUGGUGGAGUUUCAUAAAUGGAAUUCACCAGAUAAACUGAUCAUCUAAUCAAUAUAGUGUCAGACCUUUUACCUGCCAUGUGGUAGGUCUGGAUGUAAUUAAAGUCCAGGGGAUCCCUGAAGACAUGGCCACUGGAUAUGGCAGCGAACUGACAUUUGACCCACAACGUCAAGUCAUAACUUGAUUUAUUUAAGAAAACGCUGACGUGAAAAGCCCAAACUAUUUCAAACAGCAUUUUGAAAACGUAUUUGUUCCCAUUCUUGAUGCAGAAUAAUGUAUGAUCUCAAAUUAAUUGAAAGACUACACUGACU
Molecule: long non-coding RNA, 1531 nt
Filed under: Sinocyclocheilus grahami
Lineage: Eukaryota; Metazoa; Chordata; Actinopteri; Cypriniformes; Cyprinidae
Description: lncRNA (ENSSGRG00000030130.1)
Source: RNAcentral